CGUGCAGGCGGGUUGGUAAGUCAGAUGUGAAAGCCCUGGGCUUAACCCAGGAAGUGCAUUUGAAACUGCCAUCCUUGAGUAUGGGAGAGGAGAGUGGAAUUCCCAAUGUAGAGGUGAAAUUCGUAGAUAUUGGGAGGAACACCCGUGGCGAAGGCGACUCUCUGGACCAAUACUGACGCUGAGACGCGAAAGCGUGGGAGCAAACA
This 206-nucleotide ribosomal RNA is filed under the name uncultured bacterium. RNAcentral describes it as "partial 16S ribosomal RNA". It matches the Rfam family "Bacterial small subunit ribosomal RNA", at positions 568 to 774 of the family's 1533-position model. The record is from RNAcentral.